Long non-coding RNA from Mus musculus (house mouse), 5529 nucleotides. RefSeq annotates it as predicted gene, 36660. The record is from RefSeq and is a predicted model, not a curated record. NCBI's taxonomy places the organism in Eukaryota, Metazoa, Chordata, Mammalia, Rodentia, Muridae. The transcript has 6 exons.
CCAUUUGCCCACUUUUAAAAUUGAAUUGUUGCUGCUUUUAAGUGUUGUGAGUUCCUUAUAUCCUCUGAAUUCCCUUCAGCGGGUGAAUAGCUGGCCCUCGUUCUCCAUUGUUGAGUGUUUCCUUUGCUAUGCAGAUGCUUCUGGGUUUGAUGUCAUUCCAUUUGUCAAUUUUUUGUUCAUUUGUUUCCUGUGCUUUGGGGACAGUCAUAUCUGAAAAGGUGUUGCCUGUUCCAACAUUUCCCUUAUGUUUUCUUCCAAGUGUCUUCAGGUCUUACAUGCAGGUCUCCAGUCCAUUUUGAGUUCAGUUUUGUACAGGAUGAGAAAUCCACAGCACCAUCAAUUGGUGAGGUUUCACUAAUGUGCGUUCCUGGCACCUUUGUGGGGAAGCUGCUAAUAGGAGACAUCUGGGUUUAUUACUGGGGCUUCUAAUCUGUUCUUUCUCUGUCCUUUUUUAAUUUUCUCCUGGUACCAUGUUGUUUUGGUUACAAUUCCAGCCUUACCAAUUCUUUUGCGACAGACCUGAGAAGCCGGAAACCAGUUGGUGAACUUGGAAUAGAGUUACAAAAAACCAUAAGACUAGAAUACGAGUUUCUUGAACAAAGGGUCUUGGUUUCCCUUGUUGAGGAAUGUAUCCCAAGGGCCCCAAAUAGACACUUCAAUGUAUAUUUGUUUCAGAACAUUUUACAUGGCUUUGAGAAGCGGUCUGACCCUCCCCGCCUCAGAUGAGCAGUUUGUGCGUCUUCUCCCUAUGAUGUGGUAAUGGUGGCAAACUAUGAUCACCUCUCACUCUGUGUUAGAGCCAGGCUGAUUGCACCUAACCUUCUGCCUUGAUUGGAUGCUUCUGGUCCCUUGUUUUGGUCUAUCUCUCAGUACAAGAUGUCUUAGGUGUUCAAGGCUCUAUAGUCUGUGUUGGAACAACUCGAACCUGCCGAAGCUUGAGAGCAGCCAAUCACAGGAGCAAGCAGAUGCAUACUCUGAUGUUUCCAAACCAAGCCGUGCUGAGAACUGGGUGUAGGCCUAGAUUUGUUUCAAAAUCUAGUUUAAUAAGUGUUCUUAAACGCUUUAACCUCCCUUCUAGCCCACCACCCAGCAGAGGAAAGUAGAAACUUCCACUUCAGCUGGGGGCAGGCUGUAGUUUGCUUCCUUCUAGUUCACCCACAGGGCUGGCUUCUCAGGCACUUUCUCUCCCCAGUGCCCCUUUCAAGACUAUUUGUGGAGCGUAUACAUAUAUAUCUUUUCCUCACUUCAUUUCCAUAAAGUUAAGUCUCAUAGUACCGACAGCGCCAGUCUCCAGGCCUGGGCUCUACCUACUUGGAGUCUGUGUUUCUUUUGGUCCUGGAGAACUUUCUGUCUUCACAUGUCUCUCAAUCUUGCCUCGUUGUAUAUCUGAGGAAAAAUAAACGUUACCUCACCCCUGACCUUCUCCAGGAAGUACCUUUGUUACGGUGGAAGGAGAGAAGCCAGUGGCUGUGUGAGGGGAAAAGAGCAUGCCCCACCCCCUUUCACUGUACUUAUGGAGAUCCUAAUCUCAGAACCCAGAGCCUAGAGAACUUUGUUUUCUUUGACCUGCUCCACUAAAUCUGCUGUGCAUAGACUCAGCAGAUGACUGUGAAUGUGGGAUCCACCCUCGCACCCAAGCUGAGGGUAACAAGACUGAGACUUGAAAGGCUGAAGAGUGGCAGGAGUCAUUUCUGCUGUCAAAGAACCUGCAGCUGAUGGCUUGGGCCAUUGCCUUUCUUUAUACAGAUAUAAAAAUCCAACUCCAGCCCAUGCUUCAGGAGUCCCCCAGACUCAUCCUUCCUUCCAUGGUCCAGGGCGAGUAGGAGUGGAGGGCACACAUCUCCUGGGGGAAUCUGGCUUGCUCCAGUGGUGUGAGUCGUUUACUGGCCUGCCAAGUUUGAUGGGAAAGCUUAGAGACUGUUUCCACGUGCAAGUUUACAACACAAAGGAUUAGUUGCAGUGGUGGGAGGCCUUAUGGCCAGAUCCUGCCUUGAGUGGCCAAGAGGAUGCAGCUCCCUCACCUGCUUCAUUAUAAACCAGCACAGGAAUCUCAGGAGGCUCCUGGAGGCCAGCACACGAGCAACAGAAGCUGAAUAGCCACUGGCGCAGAGCUAUAGAUGCCCAAGGACUCUUUUCUGCUAUGGCCACAGAAGUGGGCUCUGAAAACAGGAAACCGGGCUCCUGAGUGUUGACUUGGAGAUAGAGCAGAGGGGAGAUGAAGACACCGGAGGCCAACUAGAAACAGCCAUUGGGAAGCCUCAGAGGGAAAGGGAUGGUGGUGGGGAAGAUGGGCAGGGUGUGAAGUCCAGAGAAAGGAAAAGGCAGAGAAAAGGCAGCCCCUUGGUGGUGGGGUCUGUAGCAACCAAUCCUGGGUCAUAGCGAGGGAAGGCCAAAUCCAAGAUGUCUGAGGUGCUUCUGGGAAAAGAUGUAUGGUGAUAGUAUAUGUCUAUGUAAGAAUAGAAUCCUGUCUGUACAGGCAUGUGCACACACACACACACACACACACACACACACACACACACACACACAGCCCUGUAUCAGCAAUCAUUGCAUUCCAGUCACCCAAAUCCAGCCCACUUUGCAAAAUGCGUUCUCAUGACUUGCCUGCACAUUCUUCUCCACUGAACCCUGCUCAUUUCUAUAUGCUUCCUGCAGCUGAGACUCUUUCUUCCCCGCUCUCUUUUAAAGCAACUGUACAAACACCUGCAUUUUAUUAAUGCUGCCUGGAGCCGGGGCUGGGCUGGGCCCCCUCUGCUCUCACCCCCACACCAUGCUCAGUGAAGCAAAACGCAAGGGUUAACCCUGUGUGGCUGGGUUUCUGUCCCCGAGAAGUGAAUCCCCAAGAGUUCAGAAAAAAACGUCAAAACUAUGAAAGAGUGAGAGUCCACAGAAGUUAUUUAGGCUUUCUGUUAGCCCAGGAACCCCAUUUCCCUUGUCUUAGCUUUUGGCCUAUUUCUCUGAUCAUUGUGCCCCGUGUCUCUUGACAGAAGACAGGGACAUCAUCCUUUCUUGAAAUUCAGGCAUCCUCUUUAGAGACAGUUCUCCAGCCUGGCCCUUUAACGGUCUACUGCAUUGUUCUGUCUUUAGAGGCCAAAUGGGACUAAACAAUCCCAGAAAGAAAAAAAAAAAAAGAAAAAGAAAAGCUGCUUUCCUCUUUAAAAUAUUUUUAAGUAAGGAAAGCAUGAAGAAUAUAAAAAUGUUCCAUAAUCCUAUUACCCAGAUAUGCUGGUAGGGACUAACAUUUCUUUCAAUUCAGUACAGGCAUCUCUUUUUUAAAAGAAGCAAAGGGGACAGGACAGGUGACCCAGUGGGCAGCAAUCAUGAGGACUUCAGUUCAGAGCCACACACAGCAUCUGAGUGUGAUGGUAUAUGCUGGCAACCCUAGCAUUAAGGAGGGGAGACAGUCAGACCAGAGUGGGGUCCCUAGCCAACCAGUUUAGCAGAAACAGCAGGCUCCACGGUCAGUGAGAAAAACCCAUCCCAAGAAAUAAGGUAGAGAGAGACUGAGGGAGACAUUUCAACAUCAACCCGUGGCUUCCACAUGUACCCAUAUGGGCAAGUGUGUUUGCAUUCAUAUGUGCACCAUCCCCCAGCUCUUGUGCAUGUGUGUGUAUGCACACACAUGUACACACACCCCCACCCCCAUCAUUAAAGGUAGUUUAUGAAUUCUGUUCAGUGUGUCAUUCUCCCCAGCAUAGAUCCCCUCCCCUCUGUUUUUUGAGACAAGGUCUCUCUAUUAUGUAACUCUGACUGUCAUGAAACUCACUGUGUAGACCCAGCUGGCCUUGAACCCACAGAGAUCUGCCUAUGCCUCCUGAGUGCUAGGAUUAAAGGCACGUGCCACUAGGCCCAGCACAGUUGGGUCUCUUAAAGACAGUGACUGUUUACAGUUUCUUGUAUGUAAUCCCAGAGAAAUGACUUGCUUAUACUUUAAAAACAAGCCCAGAAUCCCUGCCACUUCAGCACGAGACGACUCAGUCAUCUUUUGGAUAGCUUUGGAUGAGUCUCUAGGGUAGUUGUGUCAUCGUUUAUUUAACCAAUGGGCAUAAGGGUAGCUUGUGGUUUGUUAUUUCUUCUUCUUUUUUAUUUUAAAGAUUUAGUUUUAGCCAGACAUGGUGAUACACACCUUUUAUUCCAGAGCUCAGGAGGCUGGGGCAGACGGAUCUCUGUGAGAUCAAGGACAGCCUUGCUUAUGUAACAAGUUCCAAACAAUCAACCAACUAACCAACCAACCAACUAACCAACCAACCAACCAACCAACCAACCAACCAACCAACCAAAACAAUUACCUUUUAAAUGGCUGUACUCUGGACCUCGAUAAGAGUGGUAUGUACUCUUAACUCCUAAGCCUUCUCUCUCGGCUCCACUCCGAUUUCAUCUCUCUGAUACUUGGUUGGACUUAUCUGCUCCUGUAGGCAGCCCAUUCGCUGCUCCACAUCUUCUGCAGUCCUUUUUAUCAAUACCACUGAACUUGGACUUUUUAGGCGUUUGUUCUACAUAUUAAUCAUUUUGAGAUGGUCCCAUGUAUUGCAGGCUGGGCCUCAAACUCACUGUGUAGCUGAGGAAAACAUUGGACUGUUUGUUGAUCCUCUUGUCUCUAACUCAGGACUAUAGUCAUUCACCAUCAUGCCCAGUUUAUGGAGUGCUGGGAAUUGAACUCUCGGCAAACAAUUGUUCACAAGGCAAACACUCUGUCAGCUGAGCUACAUCCCCAACCCCAACUGCUCCAGAUUGUAGAUCUUAAAAAAAAAAUGUUUUUCUUAAGACAGGAUCUCACUUGCUAUAUAGUCUAGCGCUGACCUUGAACUCACAGAUCUACCUGCCUUGGUCUCUGCAGUGCUUGGAUUAAAGGUGUGUGAACGGUAUCAUGUUCAGCCUCCACAUUUGAUCUCGAUGUGAGGAGACUGCCAACUUUUCUUCAUAGGGAGUACUUUUAAAUCUUGUUUUCUUGUGCAGUUUGACUUCUGGGUGUACCACCCCCCCCAGUACUGAAAGCAGAGGAGGAGCUCUGUAUAGUCCUGCUCUUGGCAGCAUUGUUCUGAGUAACUGAGAGGCAGAAACAACCUAAGUGUCUGUCAGCAGAAGGCUGGAUUACUGAAGCAUGAUACACACACACAGGAUGGUAUCCAGCCUUAAAGAGGAGAGAGCAUCACCUUGAGGGGAUACUAAAUGAAAAACAAAACAAAACAAAACAUCAGUCACAAAGGGACAGCAGCACUGGACUGUACUUACAUAAGACUCUCAGAGUGGUCAAAAUCAUCCAGACAAAGGACAAAAUGCUGGUUGCUGGGGCAGGGAAGCUCUGGGGGCACCGGGGAGCAGGGGACGGACUGCAGAGCAUUUUAUGCACACAGUUUCAGUUUGGGAAGACAAAGACAUUCUGGAGAUGGACCGGGGUGAUGGUGUGGAACACACCAUGGAUGUCAUUUAAUGCCACCAAACUGUGUACUUUAAAAUGCUCAAAAUGGCACAUUCUAUGUUGUAUGUAUUUUGCCCCCAAUAAAAUUGUUCUUUUUCUUCUUAUGAGAA